Molecule: ribosomal RNA, 253 nt
Filed under: uncultured bacterium
Lineage: Bacteria
Description: partial 16S ribosomal RNA
Rfam family: Bacterial small subunit ribosomal RNA
Source: RNAcentral
UACGAGGGGGGCGAGCGUUGAUCGGAAUUAUUGGGCGUAAAGGGUGCGUAGGCGGCCUGACAAGUCUGAUGUGAAAUCCCUGGGCUCAACCCAGGGCCUGCAUCGGAAACUGUCGGGCUUGAGUAUGGGAGAGGUGAGUGGAAUUUCCGGUGUAGCGGUGAAAUGCGUAGAUAUCGGAAGGAACACCUGUGGCGAAAGCGGCUCACUGGACCAUUACUGACGCUGAGGCACGAAAGCUAGGGGAGCAAACAGG